RNAcentral lists this ribosomal RNA (711 nucleotides) under Phyllostaurus cuspidatus. RNAcentral's name for it is "eukaryotic LSU rRNA". It matches the Rfam family "Eukaryotic large subunit ribosomal RNA", at positions 102 to 812 of the family's 3401-position model. The record is from RNAcentral. Lineage: Eukaryota; Acantharea; Arthracanthida; Phyllostauridae.
GAUCAGAUCAAGCCUUUAAUCCUUCUCUUUACGAGACAGGAGUUGUGGUCUACCCUUCUUUGACCUGCACCGUCCUCCCGACUAGUUCUUAUUGAGAUAUAGUGUCACAGAGGGUUAUAACCCCGUCUGUUGGGAUCGUGUGUGCAUUCGGUCGGGUAAGUGUGAGUCGUGUUGCUUGGGACUGCAGCACUAAUUGGGAGGUAAUGUCCUUCUAAAUCUAAAUAUUACGAAGAGACCGAUAGCGAACAAGUACCGUGAGGGAAAGAUGAAAAGGAAUUUGAAAAGAAUGUGAAAAGUACGUGAAAUCGUUAGGUGAAAGCGAAUAGCAUACCCUUAGCGUGUGGCUCUCGUUUGUUACGAUCAGUUUUUCACUUUCCCAGUGUCUUCUGUUCACGCAAUCGUUUGCCAGAGGAUGAGAUCGUAGUUUUUCGGUGUCUCUCAGCGUGUCGACUUUCUUGGACUAUCGCCACGGUGAUACCCUUGAUUGUUUGCUCCUGUUUGUUCCGUUUCUGCAUCUUGACGCUAUAUUACCUGGUGUUGUUAUCCGACCCGUCUUGAAACACGGACCAAGGAGUCUAACGUAUGUGCGAGUAUUUGAGUUGUAAACUCUUCUGCGUAGAGAAAUCGACAAUUGAUAACACGUUUAGUGUUCCUCAUCGGCUGUUAGUUGAUUCUUCGGAUGAUCGCUACUCGCUUGAGCAUGUAUGUUGG